CAUGCAAGUCGAACGAAACCAAGGCUUCGGCCUGAAGUUUAGUGGCGCACGGGUGCGUAACGCGUGGGAAUCUGCCCUUAGGUACGGAAUAACUCAGAGAAAUUUGUGCUAAUACCGUAUGAUGUCGAAAGACCAAAGAUUUAUCGCCUAAGGAUGAGCCCGCGUAAGAUUAGCUAGUUGGUGAGGUAAAAGCUCACCAAGGCGACGAUCUUUAGCUGGUCUGAGAGGAUGAUCAGCCACACUGGGACUGAGACACGGCCCAGACUCCUACGGGAGGCAGCAGUGGGGAAUAUUGGACAAUGGGCGAAAGCCUGAUCCAGCCAUGCCGCGUGAGUGAUGAAGGCCUUAGGGUUGUAAAGCUCUUUUACCCGGGAUGAUAAUGACAGUACCGGGAGAAUAAGCUCCGGCCAACUCCGUGCCAGCAGCCGCGGUAAUACGGAGGGAGCUAGCGUUGUUCGGAAUUACUGGGCGUAAAGAGUACGUAGGCGGUUUUUUAAGUCAGAGGUGAAAUCCCGGAGCUUAACUCCGGAACUGCCUUUGAAACUGGAAAGCUAGAAUCAUGGAGAGGUUAGUGGAAUUCCGAGUGUAUAGGUGAAAUUCGUAGAUAUUCGGAAGAACACCAGUGGCGAAGGCUACUGACUGGACAUGUAUUGACACUGAGGUACGAAUGCGUGGGGAGCAUACAGGAUUAGAUACUCUGGUAGUCCACGCCGUACACGAUGAUAUCUAGUUGUUCGGGCACAACGUGCUUGAGUGACGCAGCUAACGCAUUACGUUAUCAGCUUGGUGAGUACGGUCGCAAGAUACAACUACAAUGAAUUGACGGGC
RNAcentral lists this ribosomal RNA (828 nucleotides) under uncultured Alphaproteobacteria bacterium. RNAcentral's name for it is "bacterial SSU rRNA". It matches the Rfam family "Bacterial small subunit ribosomal RNA", at positions 54 to 918 of the family's 1533-position model. The record is from RNAcentral. Lineage: Bacteria; Pseudomonadati; Pseudomonadota; Alphaproteobacteria.